UGUCUUAACCAAAACUCCUUCCUGCUAAACGAAAAUCAUGAAGUUCUUCUGUCAAUUACCAUGCCAUUACCGCAAGUCCCGAGUCGUGAAAUGCAUCCUCGCCAGUGGCCCACGGAAUCACAUGGGAGACCGAUCUUGAGCCUCGAACUUGAGUCGAGAAGUGCACUUAUGUCAAUGCCGCAUUAAAUAACUAAAUCAAGCUCAAACAUGGGCUCCUCAGCGAGCUUGUCCCACCAAGAUGCAGUGGCACUGGGCAGUGGAAUGGGGCGGCAUGGCAUACCCUAUAGGGCGACAAACAUCGAAGGCUGCGGCAGCAAAUAACCAUAAUGGUGUUUAUCCACAAGUUCAUUUCGCUGUUUAAAAAUGCCUCCGAAUUCAGCCCCGACACAAUAAACAAGCCAACUGGAUGCGAGAUGCCAGUUGCGAGAUGCCAUCGGCCGCGGCGCCCCAAACAUUUCGGUGUGUUGUGAGUGUUUUUCUUUUUUUUAUUCCAUUUGCUGCGCUGGACCCUCUGGGGCAUAGACGUCGAUGACUCUGGAUCCGAUGGAUGGACGAGUGGAUGGAUGGAUGGGACCGAUGGUGGGAUGGGAUUGGAUGGGAUGGGGCAGAUUGGACCACUCCAGUCCAGUAUAAACGCGGUAGCCACUCACGAGUAUCGCCAUCGAAGUGCAUUGCGCUGUUAUUUUAACGAUUAUGCUGAUGAGCAGCGAUGGCCAGCGAUGGCGACGCGGGCGAUGAUCCAUCAGAGUUCUGGACAUGGAAAUGCAAUUUGUGUAAUUUAUGCCGAUGCUCAGCGAACGCAACCAGAUACCCAAUGUGUGUGCCUCCGAUUAGCCAGGCGAUCCGCCAGAUACAAAAUGUUCGGCUAUCAGAGAUUCAAAGAGCCACAUCCAGAGCUACGGCCAAAACCACUUGACUACCACGUUCGGACUCCACCUGAAUGCGAUCCCCGCUUUUGAUUUAUGAUUUCAACAACACACAAAAUUAAAAGCCUUUCGGGUUUAGCCUUUCUGGGAUGCUGUCUGUGUGUCUGGGCCUGACCUGCAGCAAAUGUUGUCAUCGGAGUUCGUCCAUCCAGAGGGCACAUCAAUCAGCUUAUCAUAUCACUCGGGCUGAGUAGACAGUUUAAAUGUCAAUUAGAGGUAGGGCUAGUCUAGCUGCGGAUCAUUAAAUAUAAAUUAUGAGGGUCUUGAACUGGUCCGAAGCUAUAAGCCAGUAAGACGGUAGCUGGUAGCUGGCUGCCCAAAGGCAGAGACAACUUUUCGGAAAAUCUCCGGGAGAAUCAAUCAGAAUUAUGGAAAAAAUAAUAUGAAAUUGGAAACGUAAAAAUUGGCAAAAGUAUCCACAUAUGUAUAUUUUGUGUGCUAUGACACGUAACUUGGAGUGGCCUUUCGUCCCAUCGCAGAGCGGAAUUUACAAUUUGGCAAUAUUUUUGCUUUAUGAGUGCAUCAACGAUACAUGCGGGCAGGAAGGACCUUCGACUGAGUUGUGUUGACUCGGCGACAAAUCGCUGCCAACUCGAGCGUCCCGGCCAAAAAGCAAAUCAGAGCAGUAAAAUCUCAACUGCAGCGAAGAGUGAGCGAGGGCAGGCAAUAGCAUUUCAUUGACGUUAAUAAAUGACCGGAAGGACAUUGUAUGGCAUGCCAUGGCGUGGCAAUAAACAAACAAAAGCUGAAAAGAAGGACUGGCCAGAGGAGCUCUGACCUGUUCGCCACUGUCCUGUUCAGUUUUCGAAUCCUAUAGUCCUGUAGUCCUGGAGUCAUGCUCAUGGACCAGGUCCUGUUGCAUUUUUGGCCAGCCGGAAGUUUACUGCAGCGUCUGGCACCCUUUUCUCCUUUUCUGUUUGUUGUUCACUCCCGGAUUGUUCCUUUUUUGUUGCCUUUUGCCGCUGCUAAAAUUUCAUUUCGUUACGAAUUUUUCACAAGAUGGUCGGUGGAAGGAAGACAAGCAGAUGCUUCUUAGGUGUGGGAACCAAAAUCGCCUUUUCUUGGCUGGCAAAAAUCAAUCGCAGUUAGUCGGAAGUACUUGCGCACUUUGCGCUGAACAUUUUGCACAGUGAUUAAUUGCCUUCCUUGUUAGUGCGAGGAUACAGUAAGAAGGAAAU
Molecule: long non-coding RNA, 2104 nt
Organism: Drosophila gunungcola (fruit fly)
Lineage: Eukaryota; Metazoa; Arthropoda; Insecta; Diptera; Drosophilidae
Exons: 3
Source: RefSeq, a predicted model, not a curated record